This is a non-coding RNA of Paramuricea clavata, 811 nucleotides long. Lineage: Eukaryota; Metazoa; Cnidaria; Anthozoa; Malacalcyonacea; Plexauridae. The record is from the annotation of a GenBank genome assembly.
GAGUUAGUAGCAGGGAUCGGGGAAAAUGCACAGGCUUUUAUACUAAGAGUAUGAAAGCAUCACGUGACAAUGGGUUGACGAAGGGCCUUCGCUCGAAACGUCGAGUUUCUGCUUAUUUUUUAAGGUAGUAAUAUAACUACUCAGCACAGCAUUUAUACUGUACAUGCACCAUAUGUAAUACACAUUUAAUAUUUAUAUAUAAAGAAUAUUGUAUAUCAAAGCCAAAUUAUCUCAAGUAUAUUUCGAACUGUGUUGUGUUUACUGAAAACUGGCGAUAAAAUUAGCGGGAAAGUGUUUGACCAAUAGAAAUACGGAAUUACCAACUGAGCUAUCUAGUUGUAGUCUACCAACUAGAUGGAUCACAGUGCUGAGCCUUUUCUCUCAGACGGUCAGCGGAUAAGAUAAUAUUGAGUAUAAAUACUUUAUUUUGCAACAACGAAAAAACAAGAGCUAUUUUUAUUAUACAAGGGCAUGAUAUCUCAAAUGUUAUCAUGUAAAAGGAGAAGUGUAUGCUAAAAUACUGGUCAAAUAUAUAUAAGCAAUAAAUAUUUCCAAAAUUCUAUCCAUGUUUUUCAUUUAAGAAGCCGCUUUAAAUUCCCAAGAGCAGACUAAAAUCGUGCGCUUUACAAAGAUAUUUUAAUUUCUUAAUAAGUCAAUAUUUAAUAUAUGCACCCUUGUCAAUAUUUGACGCAUCUUUGCAUUCAGCUUAGUGCUACAUUCGGGCAUUCAGAUUUUAACAAUACGUUGUUUCAAUGGUUUGGUUUUUUUUGGGACACCCUGUGUACUAGGAUUUAAGCAAGAGUCUUGUUAC